RNAcentral lists this ribosomal RNA (434 nucleotides) under uncultured Lachnospiraceae bacterium. RNAcentral's name for it is "partial 16S ribosomal RNA". It matches the Rfam family "Bacterial small subunit ribosomal RNA", at positions 341 to 792 of the family's 1533-position model. The record is from RNAcentral. Lineage: Bacteria; Bacillati; Bacillota; Clostridia; Lachnospirales; Lachnospiraceae.
ACGGAAGGCAGCAGUGGGGAAUAUUGCACAAUGGGGGAAACCCUGAUGCAGCGACGCCGCGUGAGUGAAGAAGGAUUUCGGUAUGUAAAGCUCUAUCAGCAGGGAAGAUAAUGACAGUACCUGACUAAGAAGCACCGGCUAAAUACGUGCCAGAAGCCGCGGUAAUACGUAGGGGGCAAGCGUUAUCCGGAUUUACUGGGUGUAAAGGGAGCGUAGACGGUAGUGCAAGUCUGAAGUGAAAGCUCGCAGCUUAACUGCGGAACUGCUUUGGAAACUGUACACCUAGAGUACCGGAGGGGUAAGCGGAAUUCCUAGUGUAGCGGUGAAAUGCGUAGAUAUUAGGAAGAACACCGGUGGCGAAGGCGGCUUACUGGACGGUAACUGACGUUGAGGCUCGAAAGCGUGGGGAGCAAACAGGAUUAGAUACCCUGGUA